RNAcentral lists this ribosomal RNA (440 nucleotides) under uncultured bacterium. RNAcentral's name for it is "partial 16S ribosomal RNA". It matches the Rfam family "Bacterial small subunit ribosomal RNA", at positions 338 to 795 of the family's 1533-position model. The record is from RNAcentral.
CCUACGGGUGACAGCAGUGGGGAAUAUUGCACAAUGGGGGAAACCCUGAUGCAGCGACGCCGCGUGAGUGACGAAGUAAUUCGUUAUGUAAAGCUCUAUCAGCAGGGAAGAAAAUGACGGUACCUGAGUAAGAAGCCCCGGCUAACUACGGGCCAGCAGCCGCGGUAAUAAGUAGGGGGCAAGCGUUAUCCGGAUUUAAUGGGUGUAAAGGGAGCGUAGACGGCAGUGCAAGUCUGGAGUGAAAGGCGGGGGCUCAACCCCCGGACUGCUCUGGAAACUGUACGGCUGGAGUGCAGGAGAGGUAAGUGGAAUUCCUAGUGUAGCGGUGAAAUGCGUAGAUAUUAGGAGGAACACCAGUGGCUAAGGUGGCUUACUGGACUGUAACUGACGUUGAGGCUCGAAAGCGUGGGGAGCAAACAGGAUUAGAUACCCGAGUAGUC